CGAACGCUGGCGGCGUGCUUAACACAUGCAAGUCGAACGGUGAACUCCGCUUGCGGGGGGAUCAGUGGCGAACGGGUGAGUAACACGUGGGCAACCUGCCCUCAGCUCUGGGAUAACUCCAAGAAAUUGGGGCUAAUACCGGAUAUGACCGCUGACCGCAUGGUCUGGUGGUGGAAAGAUUUAUCGGCUGGGGAUGGGCCCGCGGCCUAUCAGCUUGUUGGUGGGGUAGUGGCCUACCAAGGCGACGACGGGUAGCCGGCCUGAGAGGGUGACCGGCCACACUGGGACUGAGACACGGCCCAGACUCCUACGGGAGGCAGCAGUGGGGAAUAUUGCGCAAUGGGCGAAAGCCUGACGCAGCGACGCCGCGUGGGGGAUGACGGCCUUCGGGUUGUAAACCUCUUUCAGCAGGGACGAAGCGAAAGUGACGGUACCUGCAGAAGAAGCACCGGCCAACUACGUG
This 463-nucleotide ribosomal RNA is filed under the name uncultured bacterium. Its description in RNAcentral is "partial 16S ribosomal RNA". It matches the Rfam family "Bacterial small subunit ribosomal RNA", at positions 30 to 507 of the family's 1533-position model. The record is from RNAcentral.